RNAcentral lists this ribosomal RNA (242 nucleotides) under uncultured bacterium. Its description in RNAcentral is "partial 16S ribosomal RNA". It matches the Rfam family "Bacterial small subunit ribosomal RNA", at positions 15 to 239 of the family's 1533-position model. The record is from RNAcentral.
GAUCAUGGCUCAGGAUGAACGCUAGCUACAGGCUUAACACAUGCAAGUCGAGGGGCAGCAUGGUCUUAGCUUGCUAAGGCCGAUGGCGACCGGCGCACGGGUGAGUAACGCGUAUCCAACCUGCCUUACACUCUUGGACAGCCUUCUGAAAGGGAGAUUAAUACAAGAUGUUAUCAUGAGUAAGCAUUUUCGUCAUGAUUAAAAGGUUUUAACCGGGUUCGGUAAGAAUGGGGAGGUGCGUU